GUAGGUGGCAAGCGUUGUCCGGGAAUUAUUGGGGCGUAAAGCGCGCGCAGGCGGUUUUUAAGUCUGAUGUCGAAAGCCCACGGGCUCAACCGUGGAGGGUCAUUGGAAACUGGAGAACUUGAGUACAGAAGAGGAAAGCGGAAUUCCACGUGUAGCGGUGAAAUGCGUAGAGAUGUGGAGGAACACCAGUGGCGAAGGCGGCUUUCUGGUCUGUAACUGACGCUGAGGCGCGAAAGCGUGGGGAGCAAACAGGAUUAGAUACCCUGGUAGUCCACGCCGUAAACGAUGAGUGCUAAGUGUUAGGGGGUUUCCGCCCCUUAGUGCUGCAGCUAACGCAUUAAGCACUCCGCCUGGGGAGUACAGCCGCAAAGGCUG
Molecule: ribosomal RNA, 375 nt
Filed under: uncultured organism
Description: partial 16S ribosomal RNA
Rfam family: Bacterial small subunit ribosomal RNA
Source: RNAcentral